This is a long non-coding RNA of Daphnia magna, 4067 nucleotides long. RefSeq lists it as uncharacterized. NCBI's taxonomy places the organism in Eukaryota, Metazoa, Arthropoda, Branchiopoda, Diplostraca, Daphniidae. The transcript is spliced from 3 exons. The record is from RefSeq and is a predicted model, not a curated record.
ACGUCCUCGUUAGUUUCUCUGUUUCCAAAACAAAUUGCUGCCUCAGAUCUGCGCAUAGUGAAAUAGAAUUUAUUCGAGCGUUGCACGAUGUCGUUAACCUCCCAGUCAAUCAUUGAUCUCAGAUAUUUGCAUAUAAAUGCACGUAAACAUCGCCUAAAUGGAGCGUGCGCUGCAGCGCGUGUCACGUAGCAUUCCCUCAUUUGGAUUACGUCAGAUCUACAAAAACAACUUUCACUGCGUUAUGCAUUAUUUAAAAAAAACAAAAACAACAACAACAUAUGGAUCGUUCAUAUGUGCUACCUGUGCACACAAAAUGCUGAUUCAAACAGCUGACGAUCCGACAAGUCAAUCCAAAGUCUUUGGCUCCAAGCUUUGAAUAUAAAGAAACCAGUUCGCAAAACGUGCGUGUUUAAAUUGAACGAACCAAAAGAGUGGACGAAUUUCAUGUGAUUAUCCGCAGAUAAUUGCGGGUGGACGUUUCCUGCCAUACGUUGUCCACAAUGUUUUCCAAUCGUCCUAAACAUUUUGGACGUUAAAGGCUGGCCAUAUCAAGGUGACGAAAGAAACCCUGCCACGAACGUCCAACGUGAUCGUCUAUACAAUUCGUGCUGGCUACAGUAGACUGCACAUUGCCUUAUUACGAGGAGUUUUAAAAGCCACCACCCUUAUCGAUUUGCAUAUUUUUCGUUUUGGUUGAAGCUGAAUGACUUCGUGAAAAUCACAUCCUUUCCCAACACUUGGCUUGGAAGCUCAUGAGUAUAGAUUGUAAAUCUGGGAAAUCUACCGCAGCGACCUAAUAACUGGCCAGCAAGGAGGCCGUUCGCCUUGAUACGGUGCCCGUCAUCCAUGUCGAGGUGUGUUCGCUUUUUUUUUUUUUUUCUGACAAAUCUCAAAACGAUGGAAGAUAACCAUCAACUGACCUUAAUAUUCUCCUUUCCCUUUCUACUUUUUUUCUUUGAGUAAUUUUUGGAAUUUCUCCAUCGUUUGAAUUAAAACUUUUCUCCGGCAAAUUCAAGCCAUUCGAAUUAGAGACAAUCCAUUUGAAUCAAAAGGAUUUUUUUUUUUAUGCAUUGGCCACAACUAUUGCGCAAAAAAUCGUAAAGUGUGAGAUCGCUGGUCUACUAUAGAUUCCUUCGCGGGGUAAAAUCAAUUUUCCUUUCAUUUUUGUCCCUUUUUUUAUUAUCCCGAUUCGCGCAGUAAUCGAAACAGUUGGCAAUUGUAGAGAACCUUUUCUCAUGAUGGUGUGCGCAUAACAAACUGCACGUUGGUGUUGCAUGUUCUUAUCGCAAGUGAUGCAUGUAAAUGCGCAAUAUCGUGGCGCUUGGAAACUAGUUCCAGAAUAUUCCUGAACUUUUUUUUUUGUUGUUGUUUCAAUUCCAAGUUGUUGUUGUUUUGUUUUUUUCCCUAGCUUCUUAUUGUUUUUUUUUCUUCAUUCUACUUCUCUUCUUUUUAUUCUGAUGAGAGAAAGACAUAAAAAAAAAAAAGGGAAGGGCGUGCAGGGCAAUGUGUGGAAAUGGAGGUACAGGAUACAACAACGACAAACAACAACAACUUUCUACAAGAAAGAAAGGGGAUUCACGCAGACAUGCACACACGUACAGCAACAAAAAGAGAGGGAAUAAAAAAAAACAAAAUCGGUACUAACAGCUCUCGAUUUCACUAGCAAAAGGGCGGCUACCCUCCACCGGUUUUCUUACACAUAACAUUUCCCCAAUUCUUUCUAAACUGAGCAUAAACUCAAGUGCGCACAAGCGCUUUUCGUACUUUUAAUUACUCGAUUUCAAGAAACCCUAUUUCGCUUCAUCUUUUGGGAGCCAUUUUUUAAAAGACUCUCUAUUUAAAAAAUAAAAAUUUAAAAAAAUAAAAAAAGAGGAAAAGACCCGGAGCAAUUCAAAGGUCGAAUAAAGGGAAAGGAGGUAACGUGUCUGCUCUACUGCCACUAAUGCUGCUACUGAUGCUGGCGAGAUCGACGUCGCCAAUGCUGACAAUCUGAUUGGUGAACAAAGAAGCGGUUACCAGCGGCGUAGCGAACGGGAUCUUGCGCGUCUUGAGCCUCGAUUCUUCUUGCAAGAUGGGCGACGGGAUGGGCCCGAUGAAAGACGUCGUCCGUGAUACCGGAUAUCUCGUUGUGAUCUUCGGACUGCAUCCAAUAAUUUAUCAAAGGGGGGGGGGGGAUUAAUAACAUUUCAAUCAAAUUUUUGAAAUUCAAAAAGCCCGCGCUCUCCGCUACCUCCUCAAACACAAACAAAUGCGAUACAUCAACAUUUAUAAAAUUUGCUUGGCUUACCGAUAUCCGCGACGAUCAGCCACGUAAUCGACGAUGCGUAACACUCCCUCCGGAUCUACGUAACCGUAACGUCCCGUAACGGUUCCGUCAGGUGAACGCGUUUCUACGCGGUACGAUUGAUGUUCACCACCUCCUUAAAUGGACGAUACGGAAAUGCACGCAAUCGAUUCACACGAGAAGUUCCAAACCAAACAAGGACGUAUAUAUUUUUUUACGACAAAGAUAAUCAUGUGCAUCAGCGGCCAUAACGAUCCAACUGAUGUCUUAUUCAUACGAGCGAUUUAUUUGCCUUGUUGAAUACGCAAAUCGCAAAAUGUCCACCGACGUGUACAUGGUUCUUUUGUUCUGUUUAUUAAUGAAGGAUUUAUCUAUUAUUUAUACGUUACCAGUAUCGUAACCGAAUGUGUAAGCGCCCGUUUGAGGGUCCAUGGUGAACGUCGUGAAAAAGGCGUCGUUGGAGUGAACGGGCAAACGGCCUUCGUAGAAACUGUCGCUGUCACUGUCGCCUCCCGUCUCAAUCCAGUCGAAGGGCGUGAGCUGUCCUGCACGAGCGCCGUCCCACACCAUCUAGCGGACGAUCAACGUAGCUGACGUGAAUAACGCGGGAAAAAUGGGAACCCGUGCGAAAGAUUUGAACACACACACAACACGAAGCCCUUAAGCUCAUUCGAAAGUUUGAAAGAAAAUUGAAUUAUCCGUCUUCCCGCGUGCACUUUCGUUGUUUCAUUAACAUUCUUCUCCUUUAUUUUCUACCUGAUUUAGGAUCUUGUUAAUUGAAGAACCGUCGCAAUGUACGUUAAGUAACUCCCGCCUUUUUUUUUUGCAUCGGCCAAUUUUCUGCCCCCAUUUUUGAUCUGCCAAACACGGCCGGACAGGUUUUGGUUUUCGUUCCGAGCGGCCCGACCUAUCCGUGAUAAUAUGCAAAUGUAACGAUGUUGAUGCUAAGAUAGGCAUCUUUAAAAAAAAAUUAGUUUUCACCAGGACUUUAGGGUCAAGUCAAAGAGAAAAAGAAAAAAGGGCACGGCGUCGGCUGGAACAAGUCCCGAAUGUCAGACGAAAAUAGAACCGUGCGGGAUAUAGACGACCGAAGGCGGAACAAAGUCAACCAAUUUCAGGUGUGAUGAAAGGUGAGAGAAAAAAAAACAAAAAAGGGCAGAAUGGAUUCAGUAUGUCGGGCUUUUAGAAGGGGAGGUGAAAGUGACCCGCCAUAAUUAAAUAUAAGAGAGUGGGAGAGAGGGAGACUUUGUUUAGUUUAGGCUAUAAUAAUUUAGUGACAUGACACGAAAUUGCCGUGUGUCAUUUAAUUGAAUGGCGGUGCAAAGUCCGCUAUACAUUUUUUGUUUUUAAGUUUUCCUGUAGCGAAUAACCAACAGCUGUAACUCAAACUUUUUUUUUUAAAUGCAUUUCACCUGAAAUUGCGGACGCGCGUACGAUCGUCGUGACGUCGUGUCAUUCAAAAAUCUCGUCGUAAAUCAAAACGAAAGCGCGCACCUUUCUUCUUCAACUAUUUAGGUGGGAAAGGUUGUCCAGUUUUUGCUGAAACCCAACCCUAACCAAAGAAAUGAACGAAUAAUGGCGAGCUAACGGUGAAAGUCCCCCAAGUGAAAGAAGAAAAAAAAAAAAAAAUUGUCACCGUGUUUGGAUGUAGCCGUUCAUCAAUUGUCUCUUGUCCCGAACCUUCUUCUUCAAAGCUUUUUCGUUGAGUAUGUGCAAUAUUUUGUUUUGUUUUGGGGGAAUAGACUGUCGCAUGAAUAAAUCUCGAUCAGUAAGCAGACCUUAA